GCAUUAGUGGUGUAAUUGUUAACAUGUGGUCUUCCCAUGGUAUCUAACAGAUUUUCAGUUUAUGGCCGCGUUCGGGGUUCGAUUCCCCGCUGUCGUG
Molecule: non-coding RNA, 97 nt
Organism: Armillaria mellea
Lineage: Eukaryota; Fungi; Basidiomycota; Agaricomycetes; Agaricales; Physalacriaceae
Source: the annotation of a GenBank genome assembly